GUGAUUACUGGUAAUUUUUAUUUUUACAAGUUUUCUGACACAGAGAUUAGUCUUAUACUCAGAAGGUUAUCACAAUAUAUUGCUACAUGAAAAAGAUUACAAAAAAUCAUAUACAAUAUGAUCCUACAUUUGCUAUUUAAAAAAAUAUGUAUGCAUAUAAAAAAUAUUAACAAAACGUAAAAUAACUCCAUUUGAAUAGUGGAAUUAUAAAUUUUUAUUAUUUUCUAAAUUCUUAUAAUGAGAAUCCAUUACCUUUGUAACUAUGAAACAAUUAAAGGGAGAAAAAAGUUUCUCUUGUGCUUUCUCAGGAAGGGCCUCAUAUCUCUUGAUCUCAACCAAUGUGACCUGUUGCUAUGGAUCUACUUUCCAUCCCAGUCCUUGUUCUGAAAGUGCUCCUGUUUCACUCCCAACAUGGGUCUCUUCAUCUCUCUCCCCACCACUAAACCUAUCUAAACCUCUUUCUCCUACUCAGCUCUGAAGUUCCCUAAAAAUGGUUUAGGCGACCCUUCCGGUCCUGGUGAGAGAUGAGGAAGAGCACUAAAGUAGUGGCAGUCUGGAAGGAAAGACUGGGCUGAAUUUAGGAGAUAUUUGUAAGGUGAAAGACUUUAGUCACUGGAGGUGAAGGGGAGAGAGGAACAGAUUUCUAAUCUGGACAGCUCGAGAUGGAUGGUGACCAAGAAUAUGGGAGAAAAACAGGUUUAGAAAGUAAGUUGAAGGGGAUCCCUGGGUGGCGCAGCGGUUUGGCGCCUGCCUUUGGCCCAGGAUGCGAUCCUGGAGACCCGGGAUCGAAUCCCACGUCGGGCUCCCGGUGCAUGGAGCCUGCUUCUCCCUCUGCCUGUGUCUCUGCCUCAUUCUCUCUUUCUCUCUGUGACUAUCACAAAUAAAUAAAAAUUUUAAAAAAAAAAUUAGAAAGUAAGUUGAGUUUCACACUACAAUGGUCCUGGGAGAGAUGUCCAGUAGGUGGUGGUUAGGUAUGUACAUGUUGAAAGUUAGGAAAGGUCUAGAUUUGGGAAUGAGGACUCUAUGAGUAAACAGCAGUUGAAAUCAUGGGAGUGGAUGCAGUCAGCCAGAAGUGCUAGGAGCAAGGAGCAAACAAGGAUCCUGGAUGGAAUCUUUGGGAUUCUCUCUUAAGAGGUGAGAAGGACUCUAUAAAAACAGACAGGUAGGCAGCAAGCCACUUGAGUAGCUGAGGUAAAUGAGAGUUAGGGGAAGUAGAGGCAGUAAAUAUUUAGACAGUCCUAUCACCUGGUGGUGGAAGAGGUCAGAAACUGAUGGUCUAGGUUUUAAAGGAAUACUGAAUUAGCUGUCAGGAUUUACAAUUAAGUAAAUUUCUCAUAAAUCUGGAUUUCUGGUCUCUUGCAAAAAUUCAGAAGAUCCAAUAAACACUGUUUUUGCAUGGCCAAUAGGAACAACCAAGAGGGAUCAAAUAAAAGCUACUUCCUUUUAGUCAGCCAGGAGCUCUAUCCCUGCUUGCCUAGCCCUUGCUUUAUAGAGUAUGAGGAAAUACUUCCCUUUGUGAAUGAAUCAAGUCCUUAUUAGUACUUAUCUAGAGUUCAGAGAAAUAAUAGGCUAGAGUUUGGUUCAUAAAGCCCCACACGUGCCCCUGAAUGCAGGAAUCCUGGGACAAACACACCUGAAUCCUGUACCAGAGCAGAUUGGGAACC
This 1664-nucleotide long non-coding RNA is filed under the name Canis lupus familiaris (dog). Its description in RNAcentral is "lncRNA (ENSCAFG00845014454.1)". The record is from RNAcentral. Lineage: Eukaryota; Metazoa; Chordata; Mammalia; Carnivora; Canidae.